Molecule: ribosomal RNA, 445 nt
Filed under: uncultured bacterium
Lineage: Bacteria
Description: bacterial SSU rRNA
Rfam family: Bacterial small subunit ribosomal RNA
Source: RNAcentral
ACCAGACUCCUACGGGAGGCAGCAGUGGGGAAUAUUGCACAAUGGGGGGAACCCUGAUGCAGCGACGCCGCGUGAGUGAAGAAGUAUUUCGGUAUGUAAAGCUCUCUCAGCAGGGAAGAAAAUGACGGUACCUGACUAAGAAGCCCCGGCUAACUACGUGCCAGCAGCCGCGGUAAUACGUAGGGGGCAAGCGUUAUCCGGAUUUACUGGGUGUAAAGGGAGCGCAGACGGCUGUGCAAGUCUGGAGUGAAAGGCGGGGGCCCAACCCCCGGACUGCUCUGGAAACUGUAAAGCUGGAGUGCAGGAGAGGUAAGCGGAAUUCCUAGUGUAGCGGUGAAAUGCGUAGAUAUUAGGAGGAACACCAGUGGCGAAGGCGGCUUACUGGACUGCAGCUGACGUUGAGGCUCGAAAGCGUGGGGAGCAAACAGGAUUAGAUACCCUGGUA